GAUGAACGCUGGCGGCGUGCCUAAUACAUGCAAGUCGAGCGAACAGACGAGGAGCUUGCUCCUCUGACGUUAGCGGCGGACGGGUGAGUAACACGUGGAUAACCUACCUAUAAGACUGGGAUAACUUCGGGAAACCGGAGCUAAUACCGGAUAAUAUAUUGAACCGCAUGGUUCAAUAGUGAAAGACGGUUUUGCUGUCACUUAUAGAUGGAUCCGCGCCGCAUUAGCUAGUUGGUAAGGUAACGGCUUACCAAGGCAACGAUGCGUAGCCGACCUGAGAGGGUGAUCGGCCACACUGGAACUGAGACACGGUCCAGACUCCUACGGGAGGCAGCAGUAGGGAAUCUUCCGCAAUGGGCGAAAGCCUGACGGAGCAACGCCGCGUGAGUGAUGAAGGUCUUCGGAUCGUAAAACUCUGUUAUUAGGGAACAAAUGUGUAAGUAACUAUGCACGUCUUGACGGUACCUAAUCAGAAAGCCACGGCUAACUACGUG
RNAcentral lists this ribosomal RNA (494 nucleotides) under uncultured bacterium. Its description in RNAcentral is "partial 16S ribosomal RNA". It matches the Rfam family "Bacterial small subunit ribosomal RNA", at positions 28 to 507 of the family's 1533-position model. The record is from RNAcentral.